RNAcentral lists this ribosomal RNA (253 nucleotides) under uncultured bacterium. RNAcentral's name for it is "partial 16S ribosomal RNA". It matches the Rfam family "Bacterial small subunit ribosomal RNA", at positions 524 to 776 of the family's 1533-position model. The record is from RNAcentral.
UACGAAGGGUGCAAGCGUUACUCGGAAUUACUGGGCGUAAAGCGUGCGUAGGCGGGUCUUUAAGUCAGGGGUGAAAUCCUGGAGCUCAACUCCAGAACUGCCUUUGAUACUGAGGAUCUUGAGUUCGGAAGAGGCGAGUGGAAUUCCCGGUGUAGCGGUGAAAUGCGCAGAUAUCGGGAGGAACACCUAUGGCGAAGGCAGCUCGCUGGGACGUUACUGACGCUGAGACGCGAAAGCGUGGGGAGCAAACAGG